Molecule: long non-coding RNA, 769 nt
Filed under: Brachypodium distachyon (stiff brome)
Lineage: Eukaryota; Viridiplantae; Streptophyta; Magnoliopsida; Poales; Poaceae
Description: long non-coding RNA (BDIS_LNC001980)
Source: RNAcentral
GGAAAACGAGGAGGGGGCCGCGGUGCUUAUAAGGACGCGCUCGGCUGUGAAAAUGGAAGGCCGGAGGAGCGGAUCCCGGUGAUGGCGGGCGGCGGUCACGCGCGGGGAAGGCGGCGCGAUUUCGGGCGCUUGCCCGAGGUAGGGGACGACCCCGACAGGUGGGCCCCACCUGUCGGUGGCUCGGGCGCGCGCGAGCGGGCGGCUGGGCCAGGGGGGCUAUGGCGCGCGCGGGGGAGUUGGGCCGGUUCGGCCCAAUUCGGCCGGGCCGGUCCGUUUACCCCUUUUUUUUUUCUUUUAGACCUUUUCUUUUUCUGUUUUUCCCAUUUCUUUGAUAUCUUUUGAGUUUGAACUCCAAAUUGGUCCAAAUAAAUUCCAGAAAAUUUGUAAAAUCAUGUUCUACCAUGAUACAACUUUUGGAAGUAGUUUCUCUUCAAAAUAAAAUAUAUAAAAAUACAUUUGCCCUAUAAAUGACUUCAGGGCUAUAUAUCUGUUUGAAUAAAAUACUUUUUCAACUCCAAAUAAUUAACCAAAAAUUAUGGGAUAGCUUAUAUAUGCAUUAAACCCUUUUUAUACAUCAACCCUAUUGGUUUGAUAAUCCAAAGGUUACAGGGAUGUAAACAAAAUCUCUUAAAGCCUUUUGUGAUUCAAAAUUUGAAUUCAAACAUGCAAUUGUGGCAUGAUGCUCAUGGAUGCAAUGCCCAUGUAAAGGUUUGAAAUUUUUGGAUGUUACAGCUUGCUGGGCUGCGGGCGUUGCCUUGCAGGGCAGCAG